Non-coding RNA from Brachypodium distachyon (stiff brome), 113 nucleotides. Lineage: Eukaryota; Viridiplantae; Streptophyta; Magnoliopsida; Poales; Poaceae. The record is from Rfam.
CAGGGUACCCUUUGACCCUCCUUAGUUCAACCAAAUGAGCUAAAGUUUUAAAAUGACAUAACUUUUUGAAAAACUAGUUCAUUUGUUACUAAGGAGGGUCAAAGGGUACCCUG